CUACGGGGUGCAGCAGUGGGGAAUAUUGGACAAUGGGCGCAAGCCUGAUCCAGCAAUGCCGCGUGAGUGAAGACGGCCUUAGGGUUGUAAAACUCUUUCGCUAGGGAAGAUAAUGACUGUACCUAGUAAAGAAGUCCCGGCUAACUCCGUGCCAGCAGCCGCGGUAAUACGGAGGGGACUAGCGUUGUUCGGAAUUACUGGGCGUAAAGAGUUCAUAGGCGGACUGACAAGUUAGAGGUGAAAUCCCAGGGCUCAACCCUGGAACUGCCUUUAAAACUGUCAGUCUAGAGACCGGAAGAGGUUAGGGGAAUACCUAGUGUAGAGGUGAAAUUCGUAGAUAUUAGGUGGAACACCAGUGGCGAAGGCGCCUAACUGGUCCGGUACUGACGCUGAGGUGCGAAAGCGUGGGGAGCAAACAGGAUUAGAUACCCCCGUAGUC
This 439-nucleotide ribosomal RNA is filed under the name uncultured bacterium. RNAcentral's name for it is "partial 16S ribosomal RNA". It matches the Rfam family "Bacterial small subunit ribosomal RNA", at positions 339 to 795 of the family's 1533-position model. The record is from RNAcentral.